UUCUUAUGGGUGUAACUCGGGGUGUAAGAAGGGUAAAAAAAUACUUAAAUUCUUUUUUAGAGAUUAACAAUAUCAUACCAGAUUACUCCUUUGGAUUUAAACAGAAAAGACUUCUGCGAUAAAUUGCGUAAACACAUUAAUUUCUCAUGUAUAUAAAGCAAAGCGAGAAGGUAAUGUAGCUAUUGCCACCUUUUUAGAUCUUACGAAGGCUUUUGAUAACGUGAAUGUAAAUACAUUGCUUGAAAGAUUAUCAGAAGUUAAUGUCCCAAGUGUAAUUGUUAAUUGGAUCUGUGGCACCCCCUGUGCAUGUCAUUAAAAUACGGCAUGAAACACCCUGUGAAGCAGCUGUCAGAGUGCGAGAGUGAGGGAUAUGUUGUGUUGUUGUUUACUAUGUGUAAUGAUGAAUGUCUAGCGUGUAGAUUAUGAUAAUAUAGAUAUUGUAUUGUGUGAAUAUAAGAGUGUUAAUUAUUUAUGAAUAUCUUCCGAAGAAUCCGAAUCCUGAGGGUGUAACAUUGGCGACGAGGACGGUACUCUGAACCUGGGCAAAACGGAAAGUGCAUCGGCUGGGGGCAAUUUUGUAUGACAUUCCCUGUACCUGAUUGUGGUACAGUAACAUUAACAGAAACAGGAGACAUACUGUUUGGAACUUAAUCCAAACUGUAAUUUAAUAUGCGGGAAGGGUAAGUUUUGCUUGAUUAUUCCAUCAUAUUUUUUGGUGGUACAUAUAACUCAUCGGAUAUUAAUUAUAUUGCAGAAUUCGCCAACAGCAUAAGCCACAUUCCGCCUUACUCUGUGCAACUGUGAGGGAUUCCGCGAAAGGAAGGUGAGAAAGAUCCCUCCUGCUGUAUGCAGAUAUUGUACGGAAUCCGCCCCAUCCGGACGAAGUUCCCGCAAUCAUCAUAGGUGCCAACGGAUCCAGGAUUGUAUGCAUCGGGUAAUUCCAGAAAAUAUUAUGCGUGGAGGGCGACAGAAGUAAUGCGCUUUGGAGUUAUAGCCGAGGUGGAAUUUUAUUUUUGAAUAAAAUAUUCUCUGGUGAACGCAUAACAGACUUUUUAUUUUAACAGUUUAAAUGCAAUAGAACCAUAUAUCAUAAGCUUAAUGUACCAUAGAUGACCAAAAAUCAACAAUACCACAUACAUUGUUCGUUUCCGUUCUAGAUUUAUUGUUUUACUGUUCUCUAACCAUCUGCCAUGCAGUGAAUUGCUUGAAAAAAACGGGAUAGUAAAUUGACGUAUCUUUUACUGUUUUGCGAAAAAUUUGUUCGAGAAAACGAGCCAUUUUUUAUGGUAACCUAUCUUAACCGCCUAUACCUCAUACUGUAAUUUAGCGGAUUACCAUUUGUCAAACUGGCAAAUCUGUACGUGGUAUGGUUUGCUUACUGUUAUCUCGGACAGUUCGAAAAAUGGUUAAAUGACAAUUUUUAAUAGGCAUCUACAGUAUGAGAAACGUUGUAUUUACAGUUCGUGAUAAUGCGGGUUGUCUAAUCCAGGCUGCUCCAGAUACUUCUACUUGUUUACCACAGCAAAUUUCAACACACGAGUGACCUCACGAAAGAUUUCGUUUUUUUUUUCUGCUAAGAAACUGCAAACUGCAAAUGUAUGGUCUUUACAAAUACUAAUGUGUGCAACAGUUAGGCUAACUGUUAAAUUUAUGUUGCAUACAGUGAUAUACACAUGUAUAAGUGUGUUGCGCAAACAUAAUCACAAACUAUAGAUAGUAGAGUAAACAUAGAUCCGUGUUGAUGAAUCCGUUGUAUCCAAACGAACUGUCAAAAUCUGUAUCCAAACGAGCAUGACGUCACGAUUUAGACAACAUCAAUGGAGCGCAUGACGUCAUAUUCAACCGUCACACUCUUGAAAAUUACUACUUACACGCUCAAAACAUUUUAGUCAGCGGUGUCCGCGGAUCUAUGUUUACUCUACUAUCUAUAUCACAAACCAUUUGAGAAAUGGCCAUUCCAUAUUCCCACCAUGUUCACAAGUUUUCAUCGCUAUAAUAUCUGACAAUGCCUGUACAGUAUAACAUACUGUUACAAAUUAGUAUGCGUUACUUAGACCGUUCCUGAUGGUCAAAUGCUUCGAGUUUCAUAGUUUUCAACAGAAAAGUACCUGAUUGUGGUACAGUAACAUUAACAGAAACAGGAGACAUACUGUUUGGAACUUAAUCCAAACUGUAAUUUAAUAUGCGGGUUUAUAUUUAUUUGUCUGCUAUAUUCCAAAGGUAUGUAAUCCAUGAAAACGGAGAAAAUGGGAAGUUCUACCACAAACGAAGAUAAUAAUAAAUUCGUAUGUGGUUCUACUACAAAAGGCUUCAAUGCGAAAGAUUUAGGCUUAGAUGCCGUUGUUUAAUGAAGAUGGCUUAAAUGCCGAUUGCCAAAUAAAGGCCGAUGGUAUCGAUGUCGAUAAGAAAGGGUUUGAUCCAGUUGGCUUAAAUGCCGGAAAAUUUGGUUUAAAUGCCGGAAAACUUGGCUUUAAUGCCGUUGAUCAAAAUAAGUGAAAAACUGAUACUGGUAAAAGCAGAAGUUCUUUUACAGUGGGGCUUAAAUGCCGUAACACUAUUUCAAUUCAUUAUGAGUAACAUAUUGAUUUGUGUCUAGGAUAAUGAAUAAAUGGAAAAUGCAACAGUUUGCGUUUAAGGUCCUAGCUCAGAAUGAGAUUCGAGGACAAUGGCUCCACUGGAACUUGCCGUAGUGCCGCUAGUGGAGGAAAAGACCUAACGAAAUUGAAAUUUCUAUUGCUGGCGAAAGCAGGGCCAGACGUACAAGAAGUUUUUCAGUCUAUUCCCAAUGCUGAUGUGGUAGAGUCGGACGAUAUUAACCCUUACGAAGUCGCUUUGGGUAAAUUAGAAGAAUAUUUUGUUCCGAAACACCAUGAUUCGAUGGAACAAACGAUUCUAAUGCAGGAGGAAGCGUAAAUCGUAUGUAUGGUUACCAACGCGGGCGAGUUGGAUUAGUGUGUUCUCGAUGUGGUCGAAAAAAAACAUCUUGGAAAUAUCCCAAGUGUCCUGCUCGAGACAAGGAAUGGGGUUACUGCAAGCGUAUUGGGCACGAGUGUAGAAUUAGCAUUUAAGUUAAAAUACACAUUAAUAAAAACAAAAAAAAAAACGUAUUGGGCAUUAUGCCAAGAAAUGUAAAACUUCUAAUGCGAAAACAUCGCUAGUGUUUCUCAAAGGAGCAAACCUAUGAAAAGCGGCCCACAACAAUCUUUACAGCGUAUCAGAGUAGUUUCGUCGUAAGAUGUAGAUGAGGUCGAUAAAGAAAAUCCUCAGAGUUUUAUAUUUUCCAUUGGCGAUGGCGAUGAUUUCAUUUGGCUAAAGCUCGGAGGUGUAAUGACUCCAAUGUUAUUGAUUCCGGUAGUCGCAAGAACAUAAUUGACUGUUCUACUUGGAAUUCGCUUAAAUUGCAAACUAUUGUUAUUCGAAAUGACCAAGAGCGGUAAUAAAUAAUUUCGUGCAUACGGAUGUUUGAUUCUACUAUCGAGAUACCUAAUGGAAAUCACCAGGCCCAGUGCGAUGCAAGGUUCUACAUAGUACAUGACGGAUAUCAGCCACUUCUGGGGAAGGAUACGGCAAAUGAAGUGAUUGUUCUGCGAAGGGGAGUUCCAACGGAUAUAAUAGAGUAGGUGGAUCAAUACAGUACAGAUAUUUGAUUUCGCCUCUGGUCGUCAUUGCGGUUGAUGUUUGGAAUGUCAUGCGCUCCAGAAAUGUUUCAAAAGAUAAUUGAGCAAAUUUUGGCCAACUGUGAGAGCUGUGUCAAUUUUAAUGAGGAAGAGCAUAAUCGUUGUUUGCGAAAGGUUUUUGGAUGUUUUUACGAAACCAUGAUGUACUACUGAAUGCUAGGAAAUGUGUUUUCAAUGUCACCGAUUUAGACUUCUGACCAGAUGAUUUACGUUCUAGAGAAGGUACUCGACCUACCGAAAGUAAAGUAAAAGCUCUACAAAUUGUUAGACCGCCACAUGAUGCCGAAGAUCUGAGAAGUUUUCUUGGGCUUGCAACGUAUGUGAGCUGGUUCUUGCCAGAUUUUGCGACUAUUUCAGCACCUUAUCAGGUUAACAGUGGAACAACUUUUGUCUGGAAUGCAAACCAGGACUCCUGUUUUUAAAAAAUGAAAAACAUGAUUGCAGAUGUCGAACAUCUAAAAAGUUUGAACAAUAAUUUGUGUACCAGAGUCAUUGUUGAUGCUAAGAAAAAAACUAGUUGCAGUAACAUAUACCCAACAAGGAAAAAAAUGCUGAUGCUUCGCCUGUUCUUUUGGGUGCAGUUUUCAUACAAGUUCAUUGAUACUGAUCCUUACAUCAUUUGCUAUCUAAAGUGAACCAGCCAAGGGCUGAAAGCCUCAUUAAUAAAGCUAGUAAUAAUAAAAUCAUUUGCUAUACAAGCGAAAGCCUCGCAACUACAAAAGAUCGUUAUUGUCAGACGGAUAAGGAAGCCUUUGUUUAGUGUGGGAAGGUUUUCUAUAUAUGUGCUUGGACGCGCAUUUGAACUUGAGACUGACCAUAAGCCUAUGGAAAUGUUAUUCAAACCAAAUUUACGGUCGUGCCCGAGGAUCGACAGGUGGGUUCUAAGAUUGCAACCUUUCACAUUCUCGGUGGAGGUUUGGAAAGGCUCGACAAACAUUGCUGAUCAGUUGUCAAGACUAAGGGAGCAUCGACCUGUGGAUGAUAAGGACAUGGAGCAAGACGAAUAAUUUCUAAUACUAGCUAUCUUGGAAUAAUCUGCCAUCGAUGUAACGGCUCAUGGUAUAGAUCUGAGACAAAAUCGUAAGAACCGUUUCAAAAUGAGCUAGUCCUUGUUGGUGAACUUAGUGCGUGUAAAACGGUUAUUCCACAAGGCUUAAGAUGAAGGUUCAUAGAGUUAGCUCAUGAAGGACAUUCAGGUGAAACACGAUGAAACGGAAAAUGCGCGAUAAAGUUUGGUGGCUGGUGAGUGUAAUGUUAGUCCUAAGGUUGACAUCAAAUUAAUAUUUAAAAUAAAUGGUGACUGGGAAUGUGUACUUGUGAAGGAUGUCGACUAGUUGGAUUACCUCAGAAACCAGAGCCAAUGCAUAGAAGACCGUUGCCUUCAGAACUAUGGACUAAUGUGACGAUCGAUUUCCUUGGUCCGUUGCCUUCCGGAGAAUAUUUGUUUGUGAUAGUUGAUUGCUAUAGCCGAUAUAAGGAAGCCGAAAUUAUGACAAAAAUAAUUGACAAGAGACAGUAAAUACAUUAUAUAGGAAAUUCAGGCGGUUGGGAUUCCCUCGCACCUUUAUGUUAGACAACGCCAAACAAUUUAGUAUUGUAAAACAAAUGGUACUAUCCUAGACUAAUUUAAAGACCUCGAUGUACCAAAGAAAACGAUCAAAUUUUCAGUGUCCAGUCCGGUACCCAAUAAAUAUUCAUAAUCGUGUAUUUUUUUUCGUGUAAAUAGCCUUUUGUGUAAAUUUUAUUUAGCGUGUUACACUGAUCUGACAGCUCUGACAGUAAGGGAUUAAACAUAAAUUACGUAAAGUGGAUACCGAGGAUUGUUCACUAGUAAUCCUACAUUAUAGAGAUCUGCGGAGGCAGCCAUUGUGAGCCAAUCGUGCAGAGAGAACUGUCAAAGUGUAAGCCAAAUGAACAUGCUUAUCGUUCGUAGGAAGGCGUCGUUUAAACGGUAUUGCAAUCGGAACUAAAUAAAUUAAAAUUAUUUAUUUUUAAUAUCGAGGAAUUGGUGGCAUAUGUAAGUUUAGUAAAAAGAUAAAAAAAAUAUUGAUUCUGCUUUCAAAAGCUCAUGCUUAUGACGACACUUUUGUUGCUGCACUUGUCGAAAAAACAUCCAUUGCUACUUCUUGCUUCACUUCUGCCGAUAUGAUUAGGGUAACACUUUUGCAAUAAAUUUCGGAUUUCUUCGAUUGCUCCGCUAUUUCAACAACAUUUUGAAAGAAAUUUCUACCAUAAUUAGAAAAUGUAAACAAAACAACUUGAACCACAACGAAGUCACGCACAAAGUUUGAACAUCUUGCUUUGUAGCAAGUGUUGGCAGCUGUUGUAAACAAAACAAACAGCGUUGCCGAAUCGACAUACGUAACUUCCGCUCAUCUCUAUGUAGAGGAUUUCUAUUGUUCACAAUCUGCGAACUUGAUUGCGAAAAAAAUGCGACCACGACGCCGCUGGUACUAUUUUAAAUUUCACAAUACCCUACUGACCACAACAAAAUGGAGAACUUAAAGCCAAAAUCGUUCACUGCUAAAUCGACUACAAAUUAGUUUAGCCUUGAAGCGCGAUUGGAAAAAGGAUCUAAAUGAAUACCUUAUCAUGUACUGCUCAGCUUCACACUCUGUAACUGGAAAAACUCCAACUCAGCUGUUUGAUGGGCAGUGCAAUUCGAACUAAAAUUCUUUUUCUCAGGGAUGUAGAGACAAUCCCUUCCAUUGAAGGAUUCCAAGAUUGUGACUGGAGUAGCAAGUAUCAUUCUCAUAAACGGGAAAACGAAAAACGGCAUGCAAAAGAAUCUAAUUGAAGGAAGGAGAUGGAGUGGUGAUGCAAACCUUACAUCAGGAAACAAGUUAGCAACUACGUAUGAUGCAGCGGAAUGUGCAGUAAUAGCAAAGGCAGAUACAGGCGUUACAGUGCAAAACCAACAGACAGGAAGAACUUAUCAACGCAGCUCGACACAUUUGAAGAAGAUUUUAGACCGUAAGGAACAACUCCAAACUUCUAAAAAUUCUUCUUUACAGGACUUUCAAGAGGACCAUGAUGUAUCGGAAAUGGUUAGCAGGUCAGAUCAACCAACGACCUUUGAAGAACCCAUGAACCUGGAACUGGACAAGGAACAACCAGAGCCUUCUGAACGACCGAAACGAUUGAGUCGACGUCCUACGAAGUUUGAUGAUUACGUCGUUGAUGAUGAGUCUUCUUAUCCUUGAGAAAAAACGAGAUGUGGCACCCCCUGUGCAUGUCAUUAAAAUACGGCAUGAAACACCCUGUGAAGCAGCUGUCAGAGUGCGAGAGUGAGGGAUAUGUUGUGUUGUUGUUUACUAUGUGUAAUGAUGAAUGUCUAGCGUGUAGAUUAUGAUAAUAUAGAUAUUGUAUUGUGUGAAUA
This is a long non-coding RNA of Aedes albopictus (Asian tiger mosquito), 7056 nucleotides long. RefSeq lists it as uncharacterized. Lineage: Eukaryota; Metazoa; Arthropoda; Insecta; Diptera; Culicidae. The record is from RefSeq and is a predicted model, not a curated record. The transcript has 2 exons.